Molecule: ribosomal RNA, 443 nt
Filed under: uncultured bacterium
Lineage: Bacteria
Description: partial 16S ribosomal RNA
Rfam family: Bacterial small subunit ribosomal RNA
Source: RNAcentral
CCUACGGGUGACAGCAGUGGGGAAUAUUGGGCAAUGGGCGCAAGCCUGACCCAGCAACGCCGCGUGAAGGAAGAAGGCUUUCGGGUUGUAAACUUCUUUUCUCAGGGACGAAGCAAGUGACGGUACCUGAGGAAUAAGCCACGGCUAACUACGUGCCAGCAGCCGCGGUAAUACGUAGGUGGCAAGCGUUAUCCGGAUUUACUGGGUGUAAAGGGCGUGUAGGCGGGAAAGCAAGUCAGAUGUGAAAACCAUGGGCUCAACCUGUGGCCUGCAUUUGAAACUGUUUUGCUUGAGUACUGGGGAGGCAGACGGAAUUCCUAGUGUAGCGGUGAAAUGCGUAGAUAUUAGGAGGAACACCAGUGGCGAAGGCAGUCUGCUGGACAGCAACUGACGCUGAGGCGCGAAAGCGUGGGGAGCAAACAGGAUUAGAUACCCCAGUAGUC